This 370-nucleotide ribosomal RNA is filed under the name uncultured eukaryote. RNAcentral's name for it is "partial 18S ribosomal RNA". It matches the Rfam family "Eukaryotic small subunit ribosomal RNA", at positions 592 to 976 of the family's 1831-position model. The record is from RNAcentral.
CAAUAGCGUAUAUUAAAGUUGUUGCAGUUAAAAAGCUCGUAGUUGGAUUUCUGGUCGGAAGCUCCUGUCCUCUGAUGAGCGUACAAGUGCGUCCUACCAUCCUUCUGUUAACCUUUAAGGCUUUCGCGGCUUUCUAGGGGCUCAGAUAUUUUACCUUGAGAAAAUUAGAGUGUUUCAGGCAGGAUAGCGCCGGAAUACAUUAGCAUGGAAUAAUGGAAUAGGACUUUUGCCUCUUCUGUUGGUCAUGAGGCUCGAGUAAUGAUUAAUAGGGAUAGUUGGGGGCAUUAGUACUUAACUGUCAGAGGUGAAAUUCUCGGAUUUGUUAAAGACUAACUUAUGCGAAAGCAUUUGCCAAGGAUGUUUUCAUUAA